AGCUGUGCCCUGAAUCUCACUCCAGGGCCUUUGUCCCCAGCCCCCUCACAGCCCGCGUGCCUACACACACGCACACACAGCCCCCCCUGGCCCGGCCACAUGUCCACUGGGAAACGGAGAGCAUGAAUACCCCCCAAAGCCUGCAAGAAAAGCGGGGGCAGACGACAGAAGAAUUGAAGAAAGACGGGGAGAGGGGAAGGGAGUUGGGAUCUCGGAACCCUUGUUGCCUGGAAGUCUCCCUUCUGCUGGACAUAGAUGGUGGUGCCUCCCUGUGGAGAACAGGAAGGGGCAGCCAUCUUGCCAUAAACACAGGAACAGAAUCUCACGGCCUCUGAAUCCGAACAGGACACACACCACCUCAUCCAGCCACGGUGGCCACAGUCCUCAGACUGGACAGCCCCUGUGUACCUGGGAUGCGGAGAGUGACCCAAGCCUCGAUCCUGGCCAAUGAGACUGCCCAUUGAGGUGGAAAUCAUCGACUUAAUUACCAAGGCUCCCUGGCCACCGGAGGAGACAUGCAACACACAGCCUGCCUAAUGCGCCAGCAGCCGAGUUGGGGAGGCCCCUGGGAAAAAGGCCUAUGCUCCCCCAGCCAUUCUCAUGGCCUAGAAUGUUCUUUGGCACGAGAGAAGUGAAGGCUCAGGGGUCCAGUGGGGAGGGCUGGGUACCAGCCCAGAAGUAGGUCUAGCCAGGGAGGUGGAGUCCCCAAGGAACACCCUUAGGGGCCUGCUGAGUCAGAAUCAUCCCUUAUGGCACGGAUCUCUCGCCUGCUCCCUGCACACAGCUCACCCGGGACUCACCCUCUGCCGGCAAGGUGAGAGGCCUUUGAAAGGCCUAAACCAGAGAGGCUGGAGGGGCUGAAGGCAGGAGCCAGCUGGCCCCAAUCCUGUUCUCUCUGGAGUCCCUCGGGCCUUAGCCCAGCCCCCAGGUGUGGCUUGUCUCCUUCUUAGAGGCUCCAACGGCCAGAGCUCCCCACUCCCACCCCACCAUCUUGUCCCAGAGAUGGAAGAGAACAUGGGAGCGGCCCCUCAUAGCCAGAGUACCUUCAAGACUAUGUGGCACCACCAGACUGAAACUCAGGUCCGGUGGGCUCUGCCAUCCCCAUGCCAAGCAGAGGGAAGGAGGGGGUGGGAGGACAGAAGAAAGAGUGGGCGGGGUGAGUCUGUGGUGGUUUGGAUUGAGACGAGCUGGACUUACGUGUGUGACAGCUUUUCCUCUGGUCCCAACCUUAUACCUUUGGUUUUCCUGCUCUGGGCCACUAUAAAAUGAGGAUUGGGGAUGAGAUAUGUGGUUUUCAAAUGCUGCUCCCAGAGCUCUGGCACUCUAUGGUGGAGAAUCAGAGCCAUUGCAGCUCUGGUCUUAGCGUUAUACACCGACCAUCACCCCUAGGGUUUCAUUUGCAGAACCAGCCCACAGCCAAAGAACCUUUGGUCACCUCUGGGCAAGGUGAUACCUCUGAACCUUCCAGAAAUGGACAGUGCCAUGUCUGCUGCUGGGGGAGAGGGGACAGACCCAGAAGGAGGUGCCAAAGGAACUUACUUUUUUUUUUUUUUUUUUGAGACGGAGUUUUGCUCUUGUUGCUGAGGCUGGAAUGCAAUGCCGCAAUCUCAGCUCACUGCAAACUCCGCCUCCCAGGUUCAAGCGAUUCUCCUGCCUCAGCCCCCUGAGUAGCUGGGAUUACGGGCAUGCGCCACCGCGCCUGGCUAAUUUUGUAUUUUUAGUAGAGACGGGGGUUUCUCCAUGUUGGUCAGGCUGGUCUCGAACUCCUGACCUCAGGUGAUCCGCCCACCUUGGCCUCGUGAAGUGCUGGGAUUACAGGCGUGAGCCACUGUGCCUGGCAGGAACUUACUUUUUAAAACUUAGAUUGAGUCCAAAUACGUAUGUCUGAGACAUGAAGGGAUGAGACUGGCUAUGGGACACGGGCUCAGAAUGAGGAGACCCAGAGGAAAAUGUGCACCCAUGUUCACUGCUACAUGCCUAUGUGCACGCAUGUACACCUGCACACACAUGCACAUGACACACAGAGCUGCCCCUCACAGCCCUGUCUACAUGGAAGACACCAAGAGGCAUUUCCAUGCUUCUCCCUCUGAGCCCCACCCCACUCCCACUUACCACCUCUCUGGACUCCUCAAGCUGACCUAGCAGAGCUCUGUCAGGAGAUGAGGAAAAUGUCUCUGUUUUUCAAAUAUUUGGAUCUUGCUAAAGACCAACACAUUUUUUUAAGUGUGUAUAAUUUUAGGGCAAUUUGAUCCAUAUGUUUCUGAUUCUCUUGCGCUUAAAUCAUCAAAAUAUUGAUUUUUAAGAGCCAUUUGAUGUCGAAGGAACCUUUUUAAUAAGCUUUUAAAGCUCUUUAAACCCAGAGCCUGGAGCCAGGGCCAAAGCUCAGGCUGUCCACUGGCCAGUCACACCCUCCCUUCCCCUGGAUCAGGAUUACUUGGAGCUGAGUCUCACUCCCCCUCUUCCUGGCCUCCCUGCCUCCCCAAGAACUACCCAGGGGUGCUGACAGAGGGGCCCAACCCCUUCUGUUCAGACUUCUCUCAUGCUUCUUCAAAGCAUGCCUAAGACACAAACCAAGAGGAGCAGUCAUGAUCUUUACUUUUUAAUGGCUGCAUAAAAUUUAGUUGCAUAAAUGUGACAUAAGGUAUUUAACCAACCCCUGUUGAAGGAUGUUUAGGUCAUUUCAUGGUACACCUUUAUACACAUUUCUGAUUGUUUCCUUUGGAUCCAUUUCCAAAAGUAAAAAUACUGCGUCAAAAAGUAGGCACAACUUACAUCUAUCCACUCAUAAGUUGCCACGUUAUUUUCUAAAAGACUACACCAAUUCAUACCUCCACAGUCUCCUCCCCACCUCCCCACUCCCACCCCAUACUCUUGAGUGGAAUUCUCGUCAUUCCUAUUCAAAUGGUGCCAUUCCAUCUGCACAUGUGGAAGCUCUCUAGCACAGCAGUUAAGAGGAGGCUCUGGAACAGAGAGCUUGGGUUUGAAUUCCAGUUCUGCUGUUUCCUAAUUGGGAAAGUUGCUUUUUCUGUCCUUGCCUCUGUUUUCUCAUCUAUAAUUUGGGGGAUAAUAAUGGCACCUGUCACGUAAGUUUAUUGUGAGGAUUUAAUGAGAUCAUCGAUACAAACUUAAACUACUUGGAAAAGCGCCUGAUGCACGGUUUGUGUUCAGUAAAUGAUAGCUAGUAUUGUU
Pongo pygmaeus (Bornean orangutan) is the source of this 3189-nucleotide long non-coding RNA. RefSeq lists it as uncharacterized. The transcript has 4 exons. Lineage: Eukaryota; Metazoa; Chordata; Mammalia; Primates; Hominidae. The record is from RefSeq and is a predicted model, not a curated record.